UUUAAAUUAACAUUAAAAGCGACGGGCAAUAUGUGCAUAUUUUUAAAAAAAUUUAAAAAUUAAAUUUAUAAUAAUUUAAUUUUAAAUCCAAUUUUUAAUAAUUUUUACAAAAUAUUAUCCAAAUUUUUUUAAAAAUUGUAUUUCAUUAUAUUUUUAAUUAUAUAAUAUAUUAUGAUUUGAAAUAAUUUAUUAAAAAAAUUUUAAUAAUAAAUUUUUAUUAUUAUUUAUACAACAAUAUAUAAUUUUAAUAUUAAAUUAAAUAAAUUAUAUUGUGUAUUUUCAAUUAAAAAACAAAAUCCUCUAAUUCUUAAAAAUACUACCAAAAUAUUUAAAUUUUUACUAAAUAUAUAAUUUUUAAAAUAAAUUUAUUAUAAUA
This 376-nucleotide ribosomal RNA is filed under the name Schizomyia diplocyclosae. RNAcentral describes it as "partial 12S ribosomal RNA". The record is from RNAcentral. Lineage: Eukaryota; Metazoa; Arthropoda; Insecta; Diptera; Cecidomyiidae.